This 501-nucleotide ribosomal RNA is filed under the name uncultured bacterium. Its description in RNAcentral is "partial 16S ribosomal RNA". It matches the Rfam family "Bacterial small subunit ribosomal RNA", at positions 28 to 506 of the family's 1533-position model. The record is from RNAcentral.
GAUUAACGCUGGCGGCGUGCCUAACACAUGCAAGUCGAGCGGCAGCGAGUUUUACACUGAAUUCUGGAAGCUUCUAGUUGAAAGAGAAGAUUUAUUCAAGAAUUUUGUGUAAAAUGUCGGCGAGCGGCGGACGGCUGAGUAACGCGUGGGAACGUACCCCAAAGUGAGGGAUAACGCAUCGAAAGGUGUGCUAAUACCGCAUAUGGUCUUCGGAUUAAAGCCUUCGGGCGCUUUGGGAACGGCCUGCGUAAGAUUAGAUAGUUGGUGGGGUAAUGGCCUACCAAGUCGACGAUCUUUAACUGGUUUGAGAGGAUGAUCAGUCAGACUGGAACUGGGACACGGUCCAGACUCCUACGGGAGGCAGCAGUGAGGAAUCUUCCACAAUGGGCGAAAGCCUGAUGGAGCAACGCCGCGUGCAGGAUGAAGGCCUUCGGGUUGUAAACUGCUUUUAUAAGUGAGGAUUAUGACAGUAACUUAUGAAUAAGGAUCGGCUAACUACGU